GACGAACGCUGGCGGCGUGCUUAACACAUGCAAGUCGAACGGAAAGGCCCCUUUGGGGGUACUCGAGUGGCGAACGGGUGAGUAACACGUGAGUAACCUGCCCUUGACUUCGGGAUAACUUCAGGAAACUGGGGCUAAUACCGGAUAGGAAUCCUUGCUGCAUGGUGGGGGUUGGAAAGCUUCGGCGGUUUUGGAUGGACUCGCGGCUUAUCAGCUUGUUGGUGGGGUAGUGGCUUACCAAGGCUUUGACGGGUAGCCGGCCUGAGAGGGCGACCGGCCACAUUGGGACUGAGAUACGGCCCAGACUCCUACGGGAGGCAGCAGUGGGGAAUAUUGCACAAGGGGCGGAAGCCUGAUGCAGCAACGCCGCGUGCGGGAGGACGGCCUUCGGGUUGUAAACCGCUUUCAGCAGGGGCCAAGCUUGUGGUGACGGUACCUGCAGAAGAAGCACCGGCUAACUACGUG
This 465-nucleotide ribosomal RNA is filed under the name uncultured bacterium. RNAcentral describes it as "partial 16S ribosomal RNA". It matches the Rfam family "Bacterial small subunit ribosomal RNA", at positions 28 to 507 of the family's 1533-position model. The record is from RNAcentral.